GAGCCCCAGGACUGCGGAGGCCACACUGUGAGUGCGGUUGUCCGUUCGUCCCCGGGGAUGCCGUUGACUGCAGCGGCCUCAGGCUUGCGUGGGCUGUCUCUGCCUGGCCUCCCUCUCCUUGCGGCGCGGGAGCACAGAGGGACAGGCGGAGCGCUUACUGGCUGUGGACGGGAGCUGCUGAAGCUGGAGAGGCCACAGAAAGGUAAAGAAGAAGAAAUGGAAGGCCAUCUGGCUGGCAGCUGCCCCCCGCUGCAGGCAAGAGAGAGCCUGCCUCUCCGCGUGUGGAAGGAUCCCUCUUCGUAGUCCACAGCAGGUCAGACCGCCAGGGUCUGUACACGUCACCAACAGUGCAGUA
Long non-coding RNA from Haliaeetus leucocephalus (bald eagle), 355 nucleotides. RefSeq lists it as uncharacterized. NCBI's taxonomy places the organism in Eukaryota, Metazoa, Chordata, Aves, Accipitriformes, Accipitridae. The transcript is spliced from 3 exons. The record is from RefSeq and is a predicted model, not a curated record.